UCCCUGGUGGCUCAGACGGUAAAGAAUCUGCCUGAAAUGCAGGAGACCCAGGUUCAAUCCCUGGAUGGGGAC
Molecule: transfer RNA, 72 nt
Filed under: Bos indicus x Bos taurus (hybrid cattle)
Lineage: Eukaryota; Metazoa; Chordata; Mammalia; Artiodactyla; Bovidae
Rfam family: tRNA
About the family: Transfer RNA (tRNA) molecules are approximately 80 nucleotides in length.
Source: Rfam by way of RNAcentral